RNAcentral lists this ribosomal RNA (610 nucleotides) under Heyndrickxia shackletonii. RNAcentral's name for it is "bacterial SSU rRNA". It matches the Rfam family "Bacterial small subunit ribosomal RNA", at positions 835 to 1443 of the family's 1533-position model. Lineage: Bacteria; Bacillati; Bacillota; Bacilli; Caryophanales; Bacillaceae. The record is from RNAcentral.
GCCCCUUACUGCUGCAGCCUACGCAUUAAGCACUCCCCCUGGGGAGUACGGGCCCAAGACUGAAACUCAAAGGAAUUGACGGGGGACCGCACAAACGGGGGAACAUGGGGGUUAAUUCCAAUGAACGCGAAAAACCUUACCAGGGCUUGGCAUCCUCUGCCAACCCUACAGAUAUGGCUUUCCCCUUCGAGGGACAGAGUGACAGGUGGCAUGUGGGUGUCCACAUCUCGUGUCGAGAGAUGGUGGGUUAACCCCCGCAAAGAGCAACCCCCUUGAUCUUAUGUGCCAACAUUUAGUUGGGAACUCUUGGGAGACUGCCGGGGACAAAUCGGAGGAAGGUGGGGAUGACGUCAAAUCAUCAUGCCCCUUAUGACUUGGGCUACACACGUGCUACAAUGGAUGGUACAAAGGGCUGCGAGACCGCGAGGUGAAGCCAAUCCCAUAAAACCAUUCUCAGUUCGGAUUGCAGGCUGCAACUCGCCUGCAUGAAGCCGGAAUCGCUAGUGAUCGCAGAUCAGCAUGGCGCCGCGAAUAAUUUCCCGGGGUUUGUAACCCCCGCCCGUCCCACCACGAGAGGGUGUAAAAAGCUGAUUCCGGGGGCCUAACGCUU